CCUACGGGGGGCAGCAGUGAGGAAUAUUGGUCAAUGGACGCAAGUCUGAACCAGCCAUGCCGCGUGCAGGAAGACGGCUCUAUGAGUUGUAAACUGCUUUUGUACGAGGGUAAACGCAGAUACGCGUAUCUGUCUGAAAGUAUCGUACGAAUAAGGAUCGGCUAACUCCGUGCCAGCAGCCGCGGUAAUACGGAGGAUUCAAGCGUUAUCCGGAUUUAUUGGGUUUAAAGGGUGCGUAGGCGGUCGGAUAAGUUAGAGGUGAAAUCCCGAGGCUCAACUUCGGAAUUGCCUCUGCUACUGUCCGGCUAGAGAGUAGUUGCGGUAGGCGGAAUGUAUGGUGUAGCGGUGAAAUGCUUAGAGAUCAUACAGAACACCGAUUGCGAAGGCAGCUUACCAAGCUACUUCGGACGUUGAGGCACGAAAGCGUGGGGAGCAAACAGGAUUAGAUACCCCAGUAGUC
This 460-nucleotide ribosomal RNA is filed under the name uncultured bacterium. Its description in RNAcentral is "partial 16S ribosomal RNA". It matches the Rfam family "Bacterial small subunit ribosomal RNA", at positions 338 to 795 of the family's 1533-position model. The record is from RNAcentral.